Molecule: transfer RNA, 75 nt
Filed under: Methylocaldum gracile subsp. desertum
Lineage: Bacteria; Pseudomonadati; Pseudomonadota; Gammaproteobacteria; Methylococcales; Methylococcaceae
Description: Methylocaldum sp. 0917 tRNA-Val
Rfam family: tRNA
About the family: Transfer RNA (tRNA) molecules are approximately 80 nucleotides in length. Their secondary structure includes four short double-helical elements and three loops (D, anti-codon, and T loops).
Source: RNAcentral
GGGCGGUUAGCUCAGCGGGAGAGCACUGCCUUCACACGGCAGGGGUCGCAGGUUCAAUCCCUGCACCGCCCACCA